UCAUCCUGGCCCGUAUGCGGAAGACCGCAC
This 30-nucleotide small RNA is filed under the name Bombyx mori (domestic silkworm). Its description in RNAcentral is "ovarian small RNA-26068". The record is from RNAcentral. Lineage: Eukaryota; Metazoa; Arthropoda; Insecta; Lepidoptera; Bombycidae.